Molecule: transfer RNA, 75 nt
Filed under: Vibrio coralliirubri
Lineage: Bacteria; Pseudomonadati; Pseudomonadota; Gammaproteobacteria; Vibrionales; Vibrionaceae
Description: tRNA-His
Rfam family: tRNA
About the family: Transfer RNA (tRNA) molecules are approximately 80 nucleotides in length. Their secondary structure includes four short double-helical elements and three loops (D, anti-codon, and T loops). Further hydrogen bonds mediate the characteristic L-shaped molecular structure. tRNAs have two regions of fundamental functional importance: the anti-codon, which is responsible for specific mRNA codon recognition, and the 3' end, to which the tRNAs corresponding amino acid is attached (by aminoacyl-tRNA synthetases). tRNAs cope with the degeneracy of the genetic code in two manners: having more than one tRNA (with a specific anti-codon) for a particular amino acid; and 'wobble' base-pairing, i.e. permitting non-standard base-pairing at the 3rd anti-codon position.
Source: RNAcentral
GUGGCAGUAGCUCAAUUGUAGAGCCUCGGGUUGUGAGUCCGAUUGUUGCGGGUUCGAGUCCCGUUUGCCACCCCA